This is a non-coding RNA of Myotis davidii, 126 nucleotides long. The record is from Rfam. Lineage: Eukaryota; Metazoa; Chordata; Mammalia; Chiroptera; Vespertilionidae.
CAUGCAUCAGUGGGGUCCCUCGGCCUGGCCUGUGGGAUUGGGCCAAAACUGGCUCUCUGACAUUCCCCGAGAGGUCCUGGAUUGCGAGAGGGCACAGGCCAGGCCGAGGGACCCCACUGGGGCACG